AACGAACGCUGGCGGCAGGCCUAACACAUGCAAGUCGAGCGGACCUUUCGGGGUCAGCGGCGGACGGGGGAGUAACGCGUGGGAAUAUGCCCUUCUCUACGGAAUAGUCCUGGGAAACUGGGGGUAAUACCGUAUACGCCCAUUGGGGGAAAGAUUUAUCGGGGAAGGAUUAGCCCGCGUUGGAUUAGGUAGUUGGGGGGGUAAUGGCCUACCAAGCCGACGAUCCAUAGCUGGUUUGAGAGGAUGAUCAGCCACUCUGGGACUGAGACACGGCCCAGACUCCUACGGGAGGCAGCAGUGGGGAAUCUUAGACAAUGGGGGCAACCCUGAUCUAGCCAUGCCGCGUGAGUGAUGAAGGCCUUAGGGUUGUAAAGCUCUUUCAGCUGGGAAGAUAAUGACGGUACCAGCAGAAGAAGCCCCGGCUAACUCCGUG
This 433-nucleotide ribosomal RNA is filed under the name uncultured bacterium. Its description in RNAcentral is "partial 16S ribosomal RNA". It matches the Rfam family "Bacterial small subunit ribosomal RNA", at positions 29 to 507 of the family's 1533-position model. The record is from RNAcentral.